UCCAAUCCCAUCGAAACCAAAACCUAGCUGAGCUUCUUCCCCAAAUUCAUGGAGGCUCCACCGGCGUCAGCACCGUCUCACCACCGAUUUGAGUUUGCACGACCACCCCUCACCUUAUUCUAGAAGGAAAUUCAUUUGCGUUCGCGUUCCAUCAUCGCAGCUCACAUCGGUUCACUGCUGUAUGCUUGUCGCCGUCGCUGCUGCGCCUUUAGCCAGAUCCUCCGCGUCGCGUGCUCGCGUUUGGUCUCUCUCCUCCGUCACUCUCUUGCUUGGCGUCGAGUUCACCGUCGACGAGGAAGCUUUGCCACCGUUUCUCCAGUGCUUCGCAUACGGGGAUACUAAAUAAGAGCAAAUCGGUUGCUAUUGAUGCUGGAAACAAGGGCUACCCUCCGAAUAAGGUCCAGCUGCUUUUGUCCAAGGACACAUUUGGCUGCUUAUACACCAUCAAUUAAGAAGGGUCGACCUGUAUUACAAGGACUAUUGGCUAUAGAUCACUUAACAAAGGAGGUAAGUUUUAACUAAAUAUUCUUAAUAUGGUAGGAAAGGUUUUAAUUUCUACUUUUUUCCUAUCAAAUAACAUCAUUAUGAGUAUGACAAGAUAGGACAAAUGGGAUUUGGAGCUUGAACAUUAUUAUUUUAUUUUUUAGGGUACAAAGAAAGGGGGUUUUGAACCCAGGGUACAAGGGAAGGGGAACUCUAUCCUAAUCAUCUACCCCAUUUAGGCUAAUCCCAAUUAGCUAGCUUGAACAUUAUUUGAUGACUAUCCUUGAUAUUUAAUUUCAUCUGUAGUUUGAGAAUGCCAGAUAUGCUCCCUUUUAAAUAUUUCGAAUAAAUUUAAAGUAUGGCUAUUAAUUUU
Molecule: long non-coding RNA, 856 nt
Organism: Arachis ipaensis
Lineage: Eukaryota; Viridiplantae; Streptophyta; Magnoliopsida; Fabales; Fabaceae
Source: RefSeq, a predicted model, not a curated record